Molecule: ribosomal RNA, 440 nt
Filed under: uncultured bacterium
Lineage: Bacteria
Description: partial 16S ribosomal RNA
Rfam family: Bacterial small subunit ribosomal RNA
Source: RNAcentral
CCUACGGGUGGCAGCAGUGGGGGAUAUUGCACAAUGGGGGGAACCCUGAUGCAGCGACGCCGCGUGAGUGAAGAAGCACCUCGGCGCGUAAAGCCCUGUCAGCAGGGAAGAAAAUGACGGUACCUGAAUAAGAAGCCCCGGCUAACUACGUGCCAGCAGCCGCGGUAAUACGUAGGGGGCAAGCGUUAUCCGGAUUUACUGGGUGUAACGGGGGCGCAGACGGCAGGACAAGCCAGGAGUGAAAUCCCGGGGCCCAACCCCGGGACUGCUGUGGAAACUGGGCGGCUAGAGUGCAGGAGAGGCAGGUGGAAUUCCUGGUGUAGCGGUGAAAUGCGUAGAUAUCAGGAGGAACACCAGUGGCGAAGGCGGCCUGCUGGACUGUAACUGACGUUGAGGCCCGAAAGCGUGGGGAGCAAACAGGAUUAGAUACCCUAGUAGUC